UGUAGCGUAAUGGGUAGCGCGUUGGACUUCUAAUCCAAAGAUUGUGGGUUCAAAUGGCAGAAUCCCACUUAA
Trichonephila clavata is the source of this 72-nucleotide non-coding RNA. The record is from the annotation of a GenBank genome assembly. Lineage: Eukaryota; Metazoa; Arthropoda; Arachnida; Araneae; Nephilidae.